This 465-nucleotide ribosomal RNA is filed under the name uncultured bacterium. RNAcentral's name for it is "partial 16S ribosomal RNA". It matches the Rfam family "Bacterial small subunit ribosomal RNA", at positions 28 to 507 of the family's 1533-position model. The record is from RNAcentral.
GACGAACGCUGGCGGCGUGCUUAACACAUGCAAGUCGAACGGAAAGGCCCUGCUUGCUGGGUACUCGAGUGGCGAACGGGUGAGUAACACGUGGGUGUUCUGCCCUGCACUUCGGGAUAAGCCUUGGAAACUGGGUCUAUUACCGGAUAGGAGCUAUUUUUUGUGUGUUGGUUGGAAAGUUUUUUUGGUGUUGCAUGAGUUGGCGGCCUAUCUGCUUGUUGGUGGGUUAAUGGCCUACCAAGGCGGCGACGGGUAGCUGGCCUGAUGGGGUGGACGGCCACAAUGGGACUGAGAGAAGGCCCAGACGCCGACGGGAGGCAGAAGGGGGGAAGAUUGAACAAGGGGCGCAAGCCUGAUGCAGAGACGCCGCGGGGGGGAAGACGGCCUUGGGGUUAAAAAAAACAAUCGCUAGGGACGAAGCUUUUUGUGACGGUACCUAGAUAAGAAGCACCGGCUAACUACGUG